UGGGGAAUAUUGCACAAUGGGGGAAACCCUGAUGCAGCAACGCCGCGUGAGUGAUGACGGCCUUCGGGUUGUAAAGCACUGUCUUCAGGGACGAUAAUGACGGUACCUGAGGAGGAAGCCACGGCUAACUACGUGCCAGCAGCCGCGGUAAUACGUAGGUGGCGAGCGUUGUCCGGAUUUACUGGGCGUAAAGGGAGCGUAGGCGGACUUUUAAGUGAGAUGUGAAAUACCCGGGCUCAACUUGGGUGCUGCAUUUCAAACUGGAAGUCUAGAGUGCAGGAGAGGAGAAUGGAAUUCCUAGUGUAGCGGUGAAAUUCGUAGAGAUCGGGAGGAAUAUCAGUGGCGAAGGCGCCCAUCUGGACGGUAACUGACGCUGAGACGCGAAAGCGUGGGGAGCAAACA
Molecule: ribosomal RNA, 402 nt
Filed under: uncultured prokaryote
Description: bacterial SSU rRNA
Rfam family: Bacterial small subunit ribosomal RNA
Source: RNAcentral